Molecule: RNA transcript, 1881 nt
Organism: Pungitius pungitius (ninespine stickleback)
Lineage: Eukaryota; Metazoa; Chordata; Actinopteri; Perciformes; Gasterosteidae
Gene name: nuclear distribution protein nudE homolog 1-A-like
Exons: 9
Source: RefSeq, a predicted model, not a curated record
UCCUGACUUGUGAUUGGCGGAGCAGUCCGGACCAAAUGAAUGGCAACUUGUAUUGUUCAACGUCCCUUCAAGACCGUGGACACUCUGCGGCUCCCAACUCCCCACAAAGUCCCUCAACAGUUUGGUUUUUACGUUUGGAACGUGUUUUCGUGACUUCACACCGGCGCGUGAAGGGGAUUUAACAAAAGAACCAGCCGUGUUUGACGUUGCGUCGAGCGAAGCUAACAGUUGAUCAGGAGGCUCGGCUGGACAUGGGGGACGUGGAGCCUCCAGAGUUUGGGUCCCUGCAGGAAGAGCUGGAUUACUGGAAGGACCAGGCUGCCAGACAACAGCAGAGCGCGGAGGAGGCCCGAGAGGAGCUGCAGGAGUUCCAACAGAUGAGUCGUGACUACGAGGUGGAGCUGGAGGCGGAGCUAAAACAGCGCGAGGCGCAAAACCGCGAGCUUCUGUCGGCCAACAGCCGUCUCUGCACAGACCUGGAAAACUACAAGGAGAAGUACGAGACGCAGCACUCGGAGGCCCACCGGCAGAUCUCCAUCCUGGAGGGAGACCUGGCCGAGACCACCGCCGCCAGAGACCAGCUCCACAAGUACAUCCGGGAGCUGGAGCAGGCCAACGACGACUUGGAGCGGACCAAGAGGGCGACUAUCAUGUCGCUGGAGGACUUUGAGCAGAGGAUGAACCAGGUCAUCGAGAGGAACGCCUUCCUGGAGAGCGAGCUGGACGAGAAGGAGAACCUGCUGGAGUCGGUCCAGAGGCUGAAGGACGAGGCCAGAGACCUCAGACAGGAGCUGGCGGUGCAGCAGAAGCCGGUUCAGGACAGGAAGUCGUCCUUAAGCAGCUCCAUCAGAGAUCCCGCCUCCUCCUCCUCCCCCACAGCAGGUCUCCCGACCCCCCCCCUCACCCCACCAGACAAACUGACAGAGGACAAACGCCCGCCUCCAUCAUCUCACCAUCCCGCCACGCCUCCACUCAGACCUCCACCCUCAGCAGAGUCCUUGGACCUAAUCAGCAGAGUGGGGGGGAAUCCGCUCCCCCCCUCGGCCAGGAUGUCCGCCCUUAACAUCGUCGGGGAGCUGCUGAGAAAAGUUGGGAACCUGGAGUCCAAGCUGGCGUCGUGUCGCGACUUCGUCCAGGAGCAGACGGCGAGCCGCAGGGCGGGGGCGGGCUCAGAGACCCGCCCCCCCAACGGCCUCUACGGCGCAGGGUGAGAGGGGGCAGGUCCAUAGCUGGAGCGCUCGUCACUCUGUUAAAACGCUGUGUUUGACGCUCAUGCAGACAAAAGCUGAUGAAGAGGUUGGACUUUGCCGCGGCCCCCAAGCUGUUGCUGUGAGACCCCCCCCAACGCCCCCCCCUCAAGUGUGGAUGGACGCGGUUGCCGUGGAUACUUCGGGAUCUGGGUUGAAGACAUUGACUUUGUUUGUCAGUGGAACCUUAAAGAACUUACUGUACUUUGCUUUUUCUUCAAAUCUUUCAUGUCAUUUUUUGUGUUUGGACUGAAAACGAAGCAGAUUUCAGAAACGACAACAUUCCGGUUUGUAAGGAAACGAUCCGAUGGAUGCAGGUAGAGACAUAAAUGCUUCGUCAUGGUUUGAAGCUCUUUGAUAACGACCCAAAACCCGAUUAGUAACUGGUGCAAUUAAGAGUCUCUGCGGCUGCAUUCUGUGGAGUGACCACCAGGGGGAACUCCUCUGGAGAUUUGAACCUUUUUUAAUGAGAUUAGGAGCAUUCAGUCCGUCUGAUGUCAUGUGAUGAAAUGACCUCUGACCUCUGACUGAACUCUACUUCCGUCUCUCUGGGAGAGACGAGCAGACGUGUGAAACCUUCAGUGAAGGCUACUUGUGUUUUAUGUUAAAAGGCAAUAAAGGGUGUGUUAUGUUU